AUACAGAAACUUCUGCUACUUUUGGGUUGGCUAUUUGUACAAAUACAUUGCUUAAAUUUACAGGCAAAAUCAUUUUCAAAUACCUUAAUAAAAUAGAUCAUAGUUUUUAUUUAAAGAUUUUAUUCUCUAUCUAUAACUUGUGCUAUGCACUGAAAAGCCAGGGUGUUUGUCAUGAUGCUGUGCAUUACCAAAGAGUUGUGGGUUGGACCAGGUCUGAUUAAUGUAUAGUUAAUAUGCUGGGGUUUCUAUCAAAUUCAGCACCAGGAUGCAGGCAGGUAUUACUAUGUUAAAAGACUUUUAAGAUUCUCCCAGUAUUCUUGAUAAUAUUUUAAGAAUUUAUGUUGUGCUCACCAUACUCUGAUUUUCUUCUCCCAUUUUGAUCUACUAUUGAUUUCAAGAUUUUCCAAAAGUUUCAGCUUUACAUCACUGGCUUCCAGAAUUUUUGCAGUGAUUUUGGCUUUUAGAAUAGGAAAGGAGUUGAAAUGGGGAAUUCUUGAAAUGCCAGUCAUGGGUCAUACUGAAAGGCAAAAAGGACCAGCAUGGGGAUUGUAGUUGUAGAAAGAGAUGUACAGAAGUUAGAAAAAUAGCUAGCUGCCAGUGGAACACCUGGAAACUAACUGGAUUUAACUUACAUAAUUUGACAUUCUAAAAUUUUUUAACAUGUUGCAACA
Molecule: long non-coding RNA, 671 nt
Organism: Nicotiana attenuata
Lineage: Eukaryota; Viridiplantae; Streptophyta; Magnoliopsida; Solanales; Solanaceae
Exons: 2
Source: RefSeq, a predicted model, not a curated record